This 253-nucleotide ribosomal RNA is filed under the name uncultured bacterium. RNAcentral describes it as "partial 16S ribosomal RNA". It matches the Rfam family "Bacterial small subunit ribosomal RNA", at positions 524 to 776 of the family's 1533-position model. The record is from RNAcentral.
UACGGAGGGUGCGAGCGUUGUCCGGAAUCACUGGGCGUAAAGGGCGCGUAGGUGGCGCGGGCAGUCAACGGUGAAAGUUCGGGGCUCAACCCUGAAUCGGCCGUCGAUACUCCCGGGCUUGAGCACUGUAGAGGCAGAUGGAAUUCCGGGUGUAGCGGUGGAAUGCGUAGAGAUCCGGAAGAACACCGGUGGCGAAGGCGGUCUGCUGGGCAGUAGCUGACACUGAGGCGCGACAGCGUGGGGAUCAAACAGG